RNAcentral lists this ribosomal RNA (388 nucleotides) under uncultured bacterium. RNAcentral describes it as "bacterial SSU rRNA". It matches the Rfam family "Bacterial small subunit ribosomal RNA", at positions 28 to 429 of the family's 1533-position model. The record is from RNAcentral.
GACGAACGCUGGCGGCGUGCUUAACACAUGCAAGUCACGGGGGCCCGCAAGGGCAACCGGCGAACGGGUGCGUAACACGUGAACAACCUGCCCUCGUGUGGGGGAUAGCCAUGCUAACGCGUGGGUAAUACCGCAUACGUUCUCUGAAGGGAGUCCUUUGGAGAGGAAAGCUCCGGCGCACGGGGAGGGGUUCGCGGCCUAUCAGCUAGUUGGCGGGGUAAUGGCCCACCAAGGCGACGACGGGUAGCUGGUCUGAGAGGAUGGCCAGCCACAUUGGGACUGAGAGACGGCCCAGACUCCUACGGGAGGCAGCAGUGGGGAAUAUUGCGCAAUGGACGAAAGUCUGACGCAGCAACGCCGCGUGAGGGAUGACGGCCUCGGUUGUAAC